Molecule: ribosomal RNA, 245 nt
Filed under: uncultured bacterium
Lineage: Bacteria
Description: partial 16S ribosomal RNA
Rfam family: Bacterial small subunit ribosomal RNA
Source: RNAcentral
GACAUAUGGGGCGAGCGUUACUCGGAAUCACUAGGCGUAAAGCGCGUGUAGGUGAAUGCCUAAGUCUGUUGUGAAAUCUCCCGGCUCAACUGGGAGCGGUCAACGGAAACUGGGCGUCUUGAGUGAGGUAGGGGUCAUCGGAAUUCCUGGUGUAACGGUGAAAUGUUCAGAUAUCAGGAGGAACACCGACGGCGAAAGCAGAUGACUGGGCCUCCACUGACGCUGAGACGCGAAAGCUAGGGGAG